RNAcentral lists this ribosomal RNA (253 nucleotides) under uncultured bacterium. RNAcentral describes it as "partial 16S ribosomal RNA". It matches the Rfam family "Bacterial small subunit ribosomal RNA", at positions 524 to 776 of the family's 1533-position model. The record is from RNAcentral.
UACGUAGGGUGCAAGCGUUAAUCGGAAUUACUGGGCGUAAAGCGUGCGCAGGCGGUUCGCUAAGACCGAUGUGAAAUCCCCGGGCUUAACCUGGGAACUGCAUUGGUGACUGGCGGGCUAGAGUAUGGCAGAGGGGGGUAGAAUUCCAGGUGUAGCGGUGAAAUGCGUAGAUAUCUGGAGGAACACCGGUGGCGAAGGCGGCAUCCUGGACCGGUAUUGACGCUGAGGCGCGAAAGCCAGGGGAGCAAACGGG